UUUCUUUAAAAGUGGUACAGGCGCAGACAGCUGCCAAUUUGACAUCUUUGUGCAGUUUUCUAGACGUAUGUAUUUCAUUGAUUGGCACAAAAAAAAUAUAUGUGAUUUUUGAUUAUAUUUG
Aricia agestis (brown argus) is the source of this 121-nucleotide long non-coding RNA. RefSeq lists it as uncharacterized. The record is from RefSeq and is a predicted model, not a curated record. NCBI's taxonomy places the organism in Eukaryota, Metazoa, Arthropoda, Insecta, Lepidoptera, Lycaenidae. The transcript is spliced from 3 exons.